GAUUUUUCGAAAGUGGCGCCAUCUAUGAAAAUGUCUGGUAAGCAACUUUGAUGGUCACUCUUUUUCUAAUACAGAGCGUUAAAACCCGAGUCUUGGUUUUAACUUUUAAAAAUUAGCUUUUGGCCUCUGUUUCCGCAACUCCUCGCAACCAGCUCGGAAUCAAAAUCUCUAAAUAAAAAUAACAAGUGUUGCUGUUCGACCGAGUCGGAAUUCAAAUCCAUUUAAUCUCUUCUUCUUUUCAAUUUCGAUAUUCACCUAUUAAAUGCAUGUUCUUCCUCGUUCUCUAUCGUAUUCACAUAUUACAUGUAUGUUCUAUAGCAACAAACUUCUGUCAGUAUGUCGUAAAUGCAACCAUUCAAUAACGUAAUGCUACAAAUUCAUUUUACUUAAACAAAAUACUAAUUGCUCCCGGCCAUAAGCCCUUUGCGCUAAUUUGGCGUAAACAGCCACCAAAACUGGUCAUUGGGACAAUAGUGCGUCUGCACCUCAGCUGUGUUUUGUCAAAUUUUAAAUUUUUUCUUCAUCUGUCAUCUACAUCACAACACUUCUCACACCAACACGCUAGCCGCCCUUCCCUAGGGCGCCCUUCCCACAUAAUGCAGACUCGCGGCAGAGGCAGCGAUCGCACACAAAAAAAAAA
This 640-nucleotide long non-coding RNA is filed under the name Drosophila guanche. The record is from RNAcentral. Lineage: Eukaryota; Metazoa; Arthropoda; Insecta; Diptera; Drosophilidae.